GAUGAACGCUGGCGGCGUGCCUAAUACAUGCAAGUCGAGCGAACAGACGAGGAGCUUGCUCCUCUGAUGUUAGCGGCGGACGGGUGAGUAACACGUGGAUAACCUACCUAUAAGACUGGGAUAACUUCGGGAAACCGGAGCUAAUACCGGAUAACAUGUUGAACCGCAUGGUUCAACAGUGAAAGACGGUCUUGCUGUCACUUAUAGAUGGAUCCGCGCCGCAUUAGCUGGUUGGUAAGGUAACGGCUUACCAAGGCAACGAUGCGUAGCCGACCUGAGAGGGUGAUCGGCCACACUGGAACUGAGACACGGUCCAGACUCCUACGGGAGGCAGCAGUAGGGAAUCUUCCGCAAUGGGCGAAAGCCUGACGGAGCAACGCCGCGUGAGUGAAGAAGGUCUUCGGAUCGUAAAACUCUGUUAUUAGGGAAGAACAAAUGUGUAAGUAACUAUGCACGUCUUGACGGUACCUAAUCAGAAAGCAACGGCUAACUACGUG
Molecule: ribosomal RNA, 497 nt
Filed under: uncultured bacterium
Lineage: Bacteria
Description: partial 16S ribosomal RNA
Rfam family: Bacterial small subunit ribosomal RNA
Source: RNAcentral